GUCUACGGCCACACUACCCUGAAUGUGCCUGAUGUCGUUUGAUCUCGGAAGCUAAGCAGGGUCGGGCCUGGUUAGUACUUGGAUGGGAGAUCACCUGGAAAUACUGGGUGCUGUAGGCU
RNAcentral lists this ribosomal RNA (119 nucleotides) under Aotus nancymaae (Ma's night monkey). The record is from RNAcentral. Lineage: Eukaryota; Metazoa; Chordata; Mammalia; Primates; Aotidae.